RNAcentral lists this ribosomal RNA (463 nucleotides) under uncultured bacterium. RNAcentral's name for it is "partial 16S ribosomal RNA". It matches the Rfam family "Bacterial small subunit ribosomal RNA", at positions 28 to 507 of the family's 1533-position model. The record is from RNAcentral.
GACGAACGCUGGCGGCGCGCCUAACACAUGCAAGUCGAACGGUGAAGAGGAGCUUGCUCCUCGGAACAGUGGCGGACGGGUGAGUAACACGUGAGUAACCUGGCUCUAAGAGGGGGACAACAGUUGGAAACGACUGCUAAUACCGCAUGACGUAUCGGGAUGGCAUCUUCCUGAUACCAAAGAUUUUAUCGCUUAGAGAUGGGCUCGCGUCUGAUUAGAUAGUUGGCGGGGUAACGGCCCACCAAGUCGACGAUCAGUAGCCGGACUGAGAGGUUGAACGGCCACAUUGGGACUGAGACACGGCCCAGACUCCUACGGGAGGCAGCAGUGGGGGAUAUUGGACAAUGGGGGCAACCCUGAUCCAGCGACGCCGCGUGAGGGAAGAAGGUUUUCGGAUUGUAAACCUCUGUUGACGGAGAAAAAAAUGAUGGUAUCCGUUUAGAAAGCCACGGCUAACUACGUG